RNAcentral lists this ribosomal RNA (488 nucleotides) under Neisseria sp. 'ARUP UnID 427'. RNAcentral describes it as "bacterial SSU rRNA". It matches the Rfam family "Bacterial small subunit ribosomal RNA", at positions 27 to 504 of the family's 1533-position model. The record is from RNAcentral. Lineage: Bacteria; Pseudomonadati; Pseudomonadota; Betaproteobacteria; Neisseriales; Neisseriaceae.
GAUUGAACGCUGGCGGCAUGCUUUACACAUGCAAGUCGAACGGCAGCACGGAAGAGCUUGCUCUUUUGGUGGCGAGUGGCGAACGGGUGAGUAAUGCAUCGGAACGUACCGAGUAGUGGGGGAUAACUGUCCGAAAGGAUGGCUAAUACCGCAUACGCUUUGCGAAGGAAAGCGGGGGCUCUUCGGACCUCGCGCUAUUCGAGCGGCCGAUGUCUGAUUAGCUAGUUGGUGGGGUAAAGGCCUACCAAGGCGACGAUCAGUAGCGGGUCUGAGAGGAUGAUCCGCCACACUGGGACUGAGACACGGCCCAGACUCCUACGGGAGGCAGCAGUGGGGAAUUUUGGACAAUGGGGGGAACCCUGAUCCAGCCAUGCCGCGUGUCUGAAGAAGGCCUUCGGGUUGUAAAGGACUUUUGUCAGGGAAGAAAAGCUUCGGGUUAAUACCCUGGAGUGAUGACGGUACCUGAAGAAUAAGCACCGGCUAACUAC